AGGUAGCAACUGCAGCCGCAGGGAGAAAAGGAUUCCAGGUGGCCACGAAGGGCUUCUAUCCGUUCCUGCUCAACUCCGCCGAACCCAAGAAACCCCCCUGCCCUUGGCUGGCACUGCCCUCCCCACCCGCUUCCCGUCCAGCGCCUCCCCCUCCCAGACGCGAGACGUCCAGAGCGCCCCGGUUACUGGGAAACACGGCGACGUCAGCCCGGGAGGUGAAGGGCCGAGACUGCUUAUCUACCCCCCAGGUCUGCAUGGAAAUGGUCUGCAAGGAAAAGUGUAUGUUUCAAGGAUUGAAAAAGCAUACCACCAGAAAAUGCAACGCCCUAACCAUCAUGACUAUUUCAUCGUGGGGGUGGAGGGGUAGAAUUCCUCCUCACUGAGACAAGGGCCUGGCCCUAGUGCUCUCUGCCUGCCUACUCUCCCUGCAACUGCCCUGCAAACCCCCAUCUCGGCCAUUUUUCCUCUUCCUCAUUCUGGGCGUCUUGCCCUUGCCAGGGCUGUGGGAGCCUGCCCUCUACUGUUCACCUGAUUCAUGAGCACAGAAACCACUCAAGUCCUGAAUUUUGGAUCAAUAUUACCACCUGGUGGUUAACUGAGGCACUGCUGCAAAACUGAAGCAGUUCCCGGCUGGUAGUGUUUGCCACAGGGUCCUCUGAAAUGAAGAGAAAGUAGAAAUCUCCCCAUCAGGGACUGGAGAUCUGUCUCCUGGACACUAGCAGAUUCCUCAUGCUAGGUCAGAGCUUUUGGAGAAAGUGCCUCAAGCUAUGCACAGAAAUGAGGGGCACUCUAACUAGAGCGGUAAUUGCCUGACUUGCAGGGAGCCCUACAUCUGCACAUCUUAUUUUAGCGUUCAAUGUAGUACAUAGUUGAUAAGGGUGAAAGAGAGUGAAAAAGAUGGCUUAAAACUUAACAUUAAAAAAACAGAUUAUGGCAUCUGGUCCCAUCACUUCAUGGCAAAUAGAAGGGGAAAAAGUGGAAACAGUGACAGAUUUUAUUUUCCUGGGCUCCAAAAUCACUGGGGACAGUGACUGCAGCCAUGAAAUUAAAAGAUGUUCCUUGGAAGGAAAGCUAUGACAAACCUAAACAGCAUAUUAGAAAGCAGAGAUAUCACUUUGCUGACAAAGAUCUGUAUAAUCAAAGCUAUGAUUUUUUUCAGUAGUCAUGUUCAGAUGCGAGAGUUGGAACAUAAAGAAGGCUGAGAGCCAAAGAAUUGAUUGAUGCUUUCAAAUUGUGGUGCUGGAGAAGACUCUUGAGAGCUCCUUGAACUGCAAGGAGAUCAAACCAGUCAAUUCUAAAAGAAAUCAACCCUGAAUAUUCAUUGGAAGGACUGAUGCUGAAGCUCCAAUACUUUGGCCACCUGACAUGAAGAGCUGACUCAUU
This is a long non-coding RNA of Bos indicus x Bos taurus (hybrid cattle), 1383 nucleotides long. NCBI's taxonomy places the organism in Eukaryota, Metazoa, Chordata, Mammalia, Artiodactyla, Bovidae. The record is from Ensembl.